AACAGGUUACUGACGUCAGCCAAACUCCGAAUGCCGGUGAGUGAGAGCGCAGCAGUGAGACGGUGGGGGAUAAGCUUCAUCGUCGAGAGGGAAACAACCCAGACUACCAACUAAGGCCCCUAAGCGUGUGCUAAGUGGGAAAGGAUGUGGAGUUGCAUAGACAACCAGGAGGUUGGCUUAGAAGCAGCCACCCUUGAAAGAGUGCGUAAUAGCUCACUGGUCAAGUGAUUCCGCGCCGACAAUGUAACGGGGCUCAAGCACACCGCCGAAGUUGUAGAUUUCGCACACUCGAUAAGCCUUCGUGGUUCAGUCGUGCGGAGUGGUAGGAGAGCGUCGUGUGGCGAGUGAAGCGGCGGAGUGAUCCAGCCGUGGACGCUACACGAGUGAGAAUGCAGGCAUGAGUAGCGAAAGACGGGUGAGAAACCCGUCCUCCGAAAGACCAAGGGUUCCAGGGCCAGGUUAAUCCGCCCUGGGUAAGUCGGGACCUAAGGCGAGGCCGACAGGCGUAGUCGAUGGACAACGGGUUGAUAUUCCCGUACCGGCGAACAACCGCCCAAGCUAAUCCAGUGGUGCUAAGAGUCCUAACCCGGUUCCAGCGGAUCCCUUCGGGGUGAUGCGGUCCGGUCUAACGCUCGACCCCAUGCUGGUGCGGUUAGCGUAUGAACAGGUGUGACGCAGGAAGGUAGCUGAGCCAGGCGAUGGUAUCCGUAAGGUGAACCUGGUGUAAGGAUGUAGGGCUGACGAUAGGCAAAUCCGUCGUCUGUACGCCUGAGAUCCGACACGUACCCGUAAGGGGAAAUCAGUGAUCCUAUGCUGCCGAGAAAAGCAUCGACGCGAGGUUGCAGCCGCCCGUACCCGAAACCGACUCAGGUGGUCAGGUAGAGAAUACCAAGGAGAUCGAGAUAAUCGUGGUUAAGGAACUCGGCAAAAUGCCCCCGUAACUUCGGGAGAAGGGGGGCCGGACACGUGACCGGACUUGCUCCGUGAGCGUUGAAGGCCGCAGAGACCAGUGGGAAGCGACUGUUUACUAAAAACACAGGUCCGUGCGAAGUCGCAAGACGAUGUAUACGGACUGACGCCUGCCCGGUGCUGGAAGGUUAAGAGGAGGGGUUAGCCUUUGGCGAAGCUCUGAAUUUAAGCCCCAGUAAACGGCGGUGGUAACUAUAACCAUCCUAAGGUAGCGAAAUUCCUUGUCGGGUAAGUUCCGACCUGCACGAAUGGCGUAACGACUUCCCAGCUGUCUCAACCGCGAACUCGGCGAAAUUGCACUACGAGUAAAGAUGCUCGUUACGCGCAGCAGGACGGAAAGACCCCGUGACCUUUACUACAGUUUGGUAUUGGUGUUCGGAGUGGCUUGUGUAGGAUAGGUGGGAGACUGUGAAGCGGGCACGCUAGUGUUCGUGGAGUCAUUGUUGAAAUACCACUCUGGUCACUUUGGAUGUCUAACGUAGGACCCUGAUCGGGUUCAUGGACAGUGCCUGAUGGGUAGUUUAACUGGGGCGGUUGCCUCCCAAAGAGUAACGGAGGCGCCCAAAGGUUCCCUCAACCUGGUUGGCAAUCAGGUGGCGAGUGUAAGUGCACAAGGGAGCUUGACUGUGAGACUGACAGGUCGAGCAGGGACGAAAGUCGGGACUAGUGAUCCGGCAGUGGCUUGUGGAAGCGCUGUCGCUCAACGGAUAAAAGGUACCUCGGGGAUAACAGGCUGAUCUUGCCCAAGAGUCCAUAUCGACGGCAUGGUUUGGCACCUCGAUGUCGGCUCGUCGCAUCCUGGGGCUGGAGUAGGUCCCAAGGGUUGGGCUGUUCGCCCAUUAAAGCGGUACGCGAGCUGGGUUUAGAACGUCGUGAGACAGUUCGGUCCCUAUCCGCUGCGCGCGUUGGAAAUUUGAGAAGAUCUAUCCCUAGUACGAGAGGACCGGGAUGGACGAACCUCUGGUGUGUCAGUUGUUCUGCCAAGGGCACCGCUGAUUAGCUACGUUCGGACCGGAUAACCGCUGAAAGCAUCUAAGCGGGAAGCCGUCUUCGAGAUGAGAUUUCCAUGCACCUUGAGUGUGAGAGGCUCCCAGCAGACUACUGGGUUGAUAGGCCGGAUGUGGAAGCGGGGACUAACGACCCGUGGAGCUGACCGGUACUAAUAAGCCGAAGACUUGACAACACAAUUAUUUCCCACACUUUCGGGUGUGGGGCUCGCGUCCACUUUGUGGUUCCCGACAGACGAUCGGGAACAUGAAACUGAAUACCGCUACACCCGCAUUC
RNAcentral lists this ribosomal RNA (2253 nucleotides) under Curtobacterium flaccumfaciens. RNAcentral's name for it is "partial 23S ribosomal RNA". It matches the Rfam family "Bacterial large subunit ribosomal RNA", at positions 930 to 2925 of the family's 2925-position model. The record is from RNAcentral. Lineage: Bacteria; Bacillati; Actinomycetota; Actinomycetes; Micrococcales; Microbacteriaceae.